RNAcentral lists this ribosomal RNA (516 nucleotides) under uncultured bacterium. Its description in RNAcentral is "partial 16S ribosomal RNA". It matches the Rfam family "Bacterial small subunit ribosomal RNA", at positions 28 to 523 of the family's 1533-position model. The record is from RNAcentral.
GACGAACGCUGGCGGCGUGCCUAACACAUGCAAGUCGAACGGAGAAGUUCAGCAAUGGAUUUCUUAGUGGCGAACGGGUGAGUAACGCGUAGACAACCUGCCUCUAAGCUGGGGACAACAACUCGAAAGGGUUGCUAAUACCGAAUGUGAACAGUGCCUCGCAUGAGAUGCUGUUUGAAGGUGGCCUCUGAAUAUGCUACCGCUUAGAGAUGGGUCUGCGUCUGAUUAGCUAGUUGGCGGGGUAAUGGCCCACCAAGGCGACGAUCAGUAGCCGGUCUGAGAGGAUGAAGGGCCCCACUGGGACUGAGACACGGCCAAGACUCCUACGGGAGGCAGCAGUGGGGAAUCUUCCGCAAUGGACGAAAGUCUGACGGAGCAACGCCGCGUGAGUGAAGAAGGCCCUCGGGUCGUAAAGCUCUGUCUUCAGGGACGAAUGUGCAGAUUGUGAAUAAUGGUUUGUAAUGACGGUACCUGAGGAGGAAGCCACGGCUAACUACGUGCCAGCCGCCGCAGUAA